CGAAACUUCUUUAUCACCGAGUGCUUGCACUCACCGAUAAAGAGUUGAGUGGCGAACGGGUGAGUAACACGUGGGCAACCUGCCCAAAAGAGGGGGAUAACACUUGGAAACAGGUGCUAAUACCGCAUAACCAUAGUUACCGCAUGGUAACUAUGUAAAAGGUGGCUAUGCUACCGCUUUUGGAUGGGCCCGCGGCGCAUUAGCUAGUUGGUGGGGUAAAGGCUUACCAAGGCAAUGAUGCGUAGCCGAACUGAGAGGUUGAUCGGCCACAUUGGGACUGAGACACGGCCCAAACUCCUACGGGAGGCAGCAGUAGGGAAUCUUCCACAAUGGGCGAAAGCCUGAUGGAGCAACGCCGCGUGGGUGAAGAAGGUCUUCGGAUCGUAAAACCCUGUUGUUAGAGAAGAAAGUGCGUGAGAGUAACUGUUCACGUUUCGACGGUAUCUAACCAGAAAGCCACGGCUAACUACGUGCCAGCAGCCGCGGUAAUACGUAGGUGGCAAGCGUUAUCCGGAUUUAUUGGGCGUAAAGGGAACGCAGGCGGUCUUUUAAGUCUGAUGUGAAAGCCUUCGGCUUAACCGGAGUAGUGCAUUGGAAACUGGGAGACUUGAGUGCAGAAGAGGAGAGUGGAACUCCAUGUGUAGCGGUGAAAUGCGUAGAUAUAUGGAAGAACACCAGUGGCGAAAGCGGCUCUCUGGUCUGUAACUGACGCUGAGGUUCGAAAGCGUGUGUAGCAAACAGGA
Molecule: ribosomal RNA, 743 nt
Filed under: uncultured bacterium
Lineage: Bacteria
Description: bacterial SSU rRNA
Rfam family: Bacterial small subunit ribosomal RNA
Source: RNAcentral